ACAAACCAGAGAUGCAUAAACCAUUCCUCCCCUCUUCAUCUCGCUCAUUCUCUCUUUCAGCAGGGAGUUCCUCUGGGGCCCAGUCCGAAGCACCGGUCUGGCAGCUGCGACGUACCAAUGCUUCCCGCUCCCGUUUAUCAGCCUCUGCUUUUACGGAUCUCUGGGGAUAUAAGAACAAGUUCAGCUCGCAUCAUCCUUCUCCGUUUGGCUGACAUGUAAUUUACAGUUGGAUGCACCAUAGAUAGCUUCGCACACAGAUCGGCAAGCAGAGCUAGACCUGAGGGAUUCGCCCCCAGCUGAAGUCUGCAUCGUCAGGUGCCUCUAGUUCCUUGUGUGCUGUGUUUUAAACAGUGCCAUAUGAAGGGACUUUACACACACAGCGAUUAUGUGCCACCCUUCUCUGGUGGUAACAGCAGUGUUUUUGGUGGUGUUGUAUCAUUGUCAUUAGGUUAUAAUCAUUAUUGGCUAAUUCAGUAGAGUCCUAAACGUUCG
RNAcentral lists this long non-coding RNA (492 nucleotides) under Numida meleagris (helmeted guineafowl). RNAcentral describes it as "lncRNA (ENSNMEG00000000422.1)". The record is from RNAcentral. Lineage: Eukaryota; Metazoa; Chordata; Aves; Galliformes; Numididae.